UGUUCUCUCUCCAAAAGAAUUGCCCCUUCUCUCGUUACAUUAAAAUUAAGGUAAUGUAAUCUUGUUUCAAUUAUAGAUACUUAUCGUGGGCAAACGCUCGACACAAUCGAAAUUGGAGGAUCGUGCGGUGGCCGUAUCGAAUACCAUGGAAAGGCCCUAUCGUAGCGCAUUCGUUCAGCGAUUAGCCAAUGGUAUUGCUGAUAUUUAAGAACGUAAAACUAGUAUUUCAUAUAAUAUUUAGAAGUAUGACUAUUGAUAAUUUUUUUUAUUGUUAUAGAAUCCAAACGGAGGAAGUUGUGGCAAACCGUUGGUUUGGCUCUGGACCGUUGUACAAAAAUGAUAUACCUUUUUUUUUAAGAGUGCUCGUAUUCGAUGCCUGGCUGUUGAGUCAAUUCACUGGCGUUAGGAAGUGGCUGCGGGGGAAAGGCCCGAAGCUUCUUUGGAUCACGCUUCCACCGCUAUUGUUAUUUUUGCUUGGUAAGGAGCAUAAACAAAAACAUCACUGAGUUCCAUUUUCUGAUCCACGUGAUAUCUAAACCGAUCCAAACGCAGCCUUUGUCUUCUUUCUGUUUCAGGGGCUUACAUCGCGCAGAGACAUUUCACUUUCGCCGAUUCUCCGCGCAAUGUCGAAAAUGUGUCACCGAAACGAUCUAUCACAUGUUCCCGGAUAUCUCAUAAUAAAAUUGCGUUCUGCCAUUUAUCUGACUGGCUUCACUCUAGGGCACAUCCCCAGAAGGAUUUUGCCGAACGGAGAUAUAUCGAGUGCGCCCAGAAAAUUCAAAGUCUGGGGAUUGUUGAGCGAGAACGAUCUCGAGCCUGUGAUGUUUGCCAUAUAAUAUGGCGAGUACGAAUUCACGGCGAAUUCUGACGAAAGUUGGCAAUAUUUUCCAGUUCAGAACACAAAGAUCAAGAGUCCAUACGAAUAUGUAGAAUUGAGGAUACAGAGCAAUCACUGGGGGCGAUAUUGCACGUGUUUGUGCAGAUGUCGCGUUCACGGGAGAUCAAUAUAAUUAGGAAUUGAUCGCGCCAUGGCUCCUCUUCACUAAACAUUCGCAAGAUCGUUCAAGCAAUAGCAAGAAACGAGCCACAGCUCUACUCAAAUACGUGCCUUCAACUACCGUUAAUCUUCAAAGGCUGCGUUUGGAUCGGUCUAGAUAUCACGUGGAUCAGAAAAUGGAACUCAGUGAUGUUUUUUGUUUAUGCUCCUUACCAAACAAAUUAACAAUAGCGGUGGAAGCGUGAUCCAAAGAAGCUUCGGGCCUUUCCCCCGCAGCCACUUCCUAACGCCAGUGAAUUGACUCAACAGCCAGGCAUCGAAUACGAGCACUCUUACAAAAAAAAGGUAUAUCAUUUUUGUACAACGGUCCAGAGCCAAACCAACGUUUUCCCACAUCUUCCUCCGUUUGGAUUCUAUAACAAUAAAAAAAAUUAUCAAUAGUCAUACUUCUAAAUAUUAUAUGAAAUACUAGUUUUACGUUCUUAAAUAUCAGCAAUACCUUUGGCUAAUCGCCGAACGAAUGCGCUACGAUAGGGCCUUUCCAUGGUAUUCGAUACGGCCACCGCACGAUCCUCCAAUUUCGAUUGUGUCGAGCGUUUGCCCACGAUAAGUAUCUAUAAUUGAAACAAGAUUACAUUACCUUAAUUUUAAUGUAACGAGAGAAGGGGCAAUUCUUUUGGAGAGAGGACAACUUCCUCCGUUUGGAUUCUAUAACAAUAAAAAAAAUUGUCAACCUUCAAUAAACGCGAUUUGCCACAGCACCUGUAACUGUAACUACAGGUGUAAAUACAUCGAUUAUUUAAUGCCUUUGUAUAUUUUCAACGAAGCGAUCAAAAAAACUUUAUACACGCGCCGAUAUUUAAUACACACGAGACGGGAGCCGUUUCAUUCCGUCAUCAUUUAAACGCGUCAAACACUGUAUAUACAUUCAAUAACGUCGAUAAUUUAUACCGAUCAAUAAGAUUGCACGAUUGAUUGGGUCAAGCAGGAAAAUAAUUACUAACGAGCGUCGGCCCAAUGGUGUUCUACAAUUAUUACCUAUAUAUCUUCACUGCAUAGCCUUGCUAUAACUCGAGGAAAGCCUUAAGAGAGAGAAAAAAGAAACAAUUUCGUACAUAUAUCUCUUGUUCGACAAACGCGGGAGAACGAUUAAGUGAGACGGAUAAAGAAAAUUGGCAAAGGCGGUUUUGUAAUUUCGUAAGAAAUUUUGGGAGUGAGAAAGAGUGGAAAAGAGAGAGUUUGUCCGUGCAAUGUAAUGCGUCGUGUAAAUAUCGAUUUGGCAGCGUCUCGUGCAAGACUGACACGUCGAAAGUUACCCCAAAGCGCGAGUGUGAAUCAUAUAAUAUAAUAAUAUUCGCAAUAAUGCGACAGUACAAAUUGUAAGCGAUCGUAACGAUCAAUUAAUUGUAGUUAAGUAUCGUUAAUUGCUAAUUUCUAAGUGUGCAACACUUAGAAUCCUUCUGGGGAUGUGCCCUAGAGUGAAGCCAGUCAGAUAAAUGGCAGAACGCAAUUUUAUUAUGAAAUAUCCGGGAACAUGUGAUAGAUCGUUUCGGUGACACAUUUUCGACAUUGCGCGGAGAAUCGGCGAAAGUGAAAUGUCUCUGCGCGAUGUAAGCCCCUGAAACAGAAAGAAGCGAGUGGUUUUCGGCCGCCUUUGUAAGGAUCUAAACGAUUAAUAACAGCGGCAGUAACACCCCUCGAUUGUAUACAUAUUUAUUUAUAUUUAUUUAUUUAUAUUUAUUGAUAUUUAUAAGAUAUUUAAAUUAGGUAUUUAACUUCUCUUUCUGUUAUUUAUUUGAAGAUUGCGAUGCGCACGUUCUCGCUUCGUAAUAUUCAGCGUCACUGGCGGUGAAUCAACCAUCGCCACGUCGAAAACGCGAUUAUCACCGCAUUUUUUGUGUAAAACCAUCUUUCCACGCACGCGCUAACCGCAUGUUUAAAUGAAAUUUGCAAAUAAUUAGGUACAUACAUAAAUCUAUUAUGUAUAAAUUCAUGUUUAAACAAGAUUAUUGUUAAAAUAUAUUUGGUACAUUUUCA
Long non-coding RNA from Vollenhovia emeryi, 3034 nucleotides. RefSeq lists it as uncharacterized. NCBI's taxonomy places the organism in Eukaryota, Metazoa, Arthropoda, Insecta, Hymenoptera, Formicidae. The transcript is spliced from 3 exons. The record is from RefSeq and is a predicted model, not a curated record.